ACGAAGGCUGGCGGCAUGCCUAACACAUGCAAGUCGAACGAGACCUUCGGGUCUAGUGGCGCACGGGUGCGUAACGCGUGGGAACCUGCCCUUAGGUUCGGAAUAACUCCCCGAAAGGGGUGCUAAUACCGGAUAAUGUCUUCGGACCAAAGAUUUAUCGCCUUUGGAUGGGCCCGCGUUGGAUUAGCUAGUUGGUAGGGUAAAAGCCUACCAAGGCGACGAUCCAUAGCUGGUCUGAGAGGAUGAUCAGCCACACUGGGACUGAGACACGGCCCAGACUCCUACGGGAGGCAGCAGUGGGGAAUAUUGGACAAUGGGCGAAAGCCUGAUCCAGCAAUGCCGCGUGAGUGAUGAAGGCCUUAGGGUUGUAAAGCUCUUUUACCCGGGAUGAUAAUGACAGUACCGGGAGAAUAAGCUCCGGCUAACUCCGUG
This 432-nucleotide ribosomal RNA is filed under the name uncultured bacterium. RNAcentral describes it as "partial 16S ribosomal RNA". It matches the Rfam family "Bacterial small subunit ribosomal RNA", at positions 29 to 507 of the family's 1533-position model. The record is from RNAcentral.